AACUGUGGAACAUUUGGUUUGUAGUGGGCGGGUAUGAAUUGUUGCUGCAUUUCCCAUUUCAUUUUGGACUAAGUAGUGACCUUGUCAUUUCCCUUAUGCUGGCAUAAGUACUUCAUAUUUUGCGAUCAAAUUAAUGUACUUUUUUUUAGCUUACUAGUGACUAGUUUCAUCAUCCUAUUUGGGGAGACGUUCUGACACUCAAAGACAGUCCAAGGUCUAGAGCCUUUCGAUGACCUCAUCCGGAUCUAUCGUGAUUAUAAAAUUCGUGUUUGGCAGUUGAAUUGGUACAACAGUUGUACUCACCUGAUUUGACCUGGAAUAUCUAAGAAGCCAUAAUUGAUAAGCAAAGGUGGAUUUGCCAAAUUUCUAAGAAGCUAUAAUAUAAAUAGUUGUAUUAUACAGGUGAGUACAACUGGUGAUUGUGUUAAAUAAUGAUGAAUUGGUACUUAUAAAUGAAUAGAAGAGAAUAUGUUCUAGUUUCCACUUGUGCAUUCUAGGUCAGUUAUACUCGAGCUUCAUAUGCCAUUCCAUCACCGCGUUUGCAUCCACAUCCAUGCACAUACAUUGUCACGCAGAAAAAAUCAUGAAUUUCCUCAAAUUCACCUUUUUCCGACAUAAAUAUGUUCUUACUAUAGUGGUUAUUAUCAACGAUACCAUAAACUUGUAGUUAGUGAUUAUUCGAAGCAUUAUAUAGGUAAAUUAUCAGCUCAGCUUUUGUUUUUCUUUUGUUUCUUUUAGAUUAUUUUUGACAAUAUUCUCAACUGUAAAAUACCAUGGCCCCGAGUAGCUGAAGAAAUGAGUCUUGAAGCUCAAGAUCUUAUUCGCAGGCUGCCUUUGUUCCCUCUUCAAAUAAUGCAACUGAUACUAGCUAUUUCACGAGUCGCUACUCAUGGAAUCCUUCAAGUGAGCUUAUUAAUGAGGCCAGUCAAUUUGAGGAUUCUUUGGGCAGUGGAAGCAUAAGUGGUGCCGGUAGUUGCUCCAGUAAUCGUCAAGAUGUGGGGGAUGAGUAUGACGGCCUUGAGGAGUUUGAUUCUGAAGAAUUUGUGAAUUACUCAUUCAGUAAUUUCUCUUUCAAGAAUCUCUCCCAGCUCGCAUCGAUCAAUUAUGAUUUGCUUAAUAAGGGCUGGAAAGAUGGUCAAUCAAAACCAGAUUUUUAAUCUUGCUCUCUCGAAGUUCUCAUUUUGUUAGGAGCGGAACAGUGGGGAAUAAGAGCUUUGUCAACUAUACAUUUUCGUUGUAAAUAGGUAGGAGCUGAAUCUGCUAAUCCGGAGAUUAAUCACUUCGCUUUCUUGUGGAGAUGUAAAGUUCUAUACAAUAGUUUUCUAGAGUUUUAGGGUUUGGGACAGUAAUGAUUUUCCUCUCUCUCUCUCUCUCUCUCUCUCUCUCUCUCUCUCUCUCUCU
This is a long non-coding RNA of Phalaenopsis equestris, 1401 nucleotides long. RefSeq lists it as uncharacterized. NCBI's taxonomy places the organism in Eukaryota, Viridiplantae, Streptophyta, Magnoliopsida, Asparagales, Orchidaceae. The transcript is spliced from 5 exons. The record is from RefSeq and is a predicted model, not a curated record.